This 326-nucleotide ribosomal RNA is filed under the name uncultured eukaryote. Its description in RNAcentral is "partial 18S ribosomal RNA". It matches the Rfam family "Eukaryotic small subunit ribosomal RNA", at positions 1470 to 1796 of the family's 1831-position model. The record is from RNAcentral.
CCCUUAGAUGUUCUGGGCCGCACGCGCGCUACACUGAUGCAUUCAACAAGCCUAGCCUUGACCGAGAGGUCCGGGUAAUCUUUGAAACUGCAUCGUGAUGGGGCUAGAUUAUUGCAAUUAUUAAUCUUCAACGAGGAAUGCCUAGUAAGCGUGAUUCAUCAAAUCGCGUUGAUUAUGUCCCUGCCCUUUGUACACACCGCCCGUCGCUCCUACCGAUUGAAUGUGUUGGUGAGGAGCUCGGAUUGGCAGCAGUUGGUGGUUCGCCACCGGCUAUUGCUGAGAAGUCCUCCAAACCGCCCCAUUUAGAGGAAGGAGAAGUCGUAACA